Molecule: ribosomal RNA, 301 nt
Filed under: uncultured bacterium
Lineage: Bacteria
Description: partial 16S ribosomal RNA
Rfam family: Bacterial small subunit ribosomal RNA
Source: RNAcentral
CAGUCGCCACGGGAAUACAGAGGGUGCGAGCGUUAAUCGGAUUUACUGGGCGUAAAGCGUGCGUAGGCGGCUUCUUAAGUCGGAUGUGAAAUCCCUGAGCUUAACUUAGGAAUUGCAUUCGAUACUGGUUAGCUAGAGUGUGGGAGAGGAUGGUAGAAUUCCAGGUGUAGCGGUGAAAUGCGUAGAGAUCUGGAGGAAUACCGAUGGCGAAGGCAGCCAUCUGGCCUAACACUGACGCUGAGGUACGAAAGCAUGGGGAGCAAACAGGAUUAGAUACCCCCGUAGUCCCUGUCUCUUAUAC